Non-coding RNA from Octopus sinensis (East Asian common octopus), 67 nucleotides. Lineage: Eukaryota; Metazoa; Mollusca; Cephalopoda; Octopoda; Octopodidae. The record is from the annotation of a RefSeq genome assembly.
ACUUAAAUAGCUUAAUUGAAAGAGCAUGACGUUGAAGGUGUUAAGGUGGUAGUAUUAUCUUUAAGUG